CCAGCGUCAUUUGAAAAACCUUCGCCAUGCGAAUCACUAUCUUCCUCAUCCUGGCCGUCAUCGGAACGGUACUUGCCGGUAAGGUCAACGAAGCUUUAAUCCGUAACACAGGAGAUCGUUCCGCAACGGAUGCAUCGCCUGUGGUAGGUGACACCAAAGCGGUUCCAAACCCACAUUUAAUUGGGGCACCCAGAUCUUUGGUGCCGGAUAAGGAAACUACAUCUACUAGUAGUGUAGUUACGAAACCACUUCGUGCUACACGUCAAGUCGUGUACGGUCAGUACUAUACUACCGAGGACAGUGACAUAGUGGACAGAGAAAAGGAUUUGUCUCGGCAGCGCAUAGUGAAUUGAAAACCGCAAAAGCUAUGAUGAAAUCUUUUUGAAUGCAAAAGCUGUAGUAAUUCCCUAGAUCGGUGGUGUCACGAAAUAUUUACUAAACAUUUAUUUAUAUCAUAUUACAUCAAUCUACUCAUCUCGAAGGUUAGGCCAUGAAUUCGAAGUUACCUGCUAAUUAUAACAUAUCGACAAACAAGAACGCAGCGCAAAUAAAACGAACUGGAAAACCCAGCUUUGUCAGCACUUCCAUCUUCAGCAUCCUUUGAGCAGUACUGUCUUGGACCGAUCGCCAGCCAUCAUGAAACGCGCAACGAUUGUGCUACUGUUACUCGGUGUGAUUAUCGGAGCGCUCCACGAAGUCGAAUCUCGUCCGGAUGAAGCGAUUAUCCUAGCAGCGGUUUUCGACUCGACGGAGGAUUACGGUGAAACUACUACGACGCAGCCGAGCCUUAAUAGCAGCGGAAGUGGAAUCAGUACCACGGUGGCAAAUCAUCGUAACCUAACUGGAAGUAGUGGUAUCAGCACCACCACUUUGGCAAAUCAUCGAAACCAGACUGGUCACUAAUAAGUAUACUUCUAUUCUAUUUCUAUAUCUUCGUACAUACUGUGAACUACGUUUUCCAUAAGUAUCGCUAAAUAAAUGCUCUGAAUCUCGAAGGUCACUGAAAUUAAAUGGUGAAAGUCCUAUACAAAACGUUUAGUGUGGAAUAACUCUUGCUCUUUUUCAUGUGCAGAAACAGAAACAAACAAAUAUCAGCAAAGUCGGUAUCGCGAAUAAAGCUAUGGAUUACAUAAACGUUGUAUGAGUAUUUGAACAAAACCAAAAAAAUAUUCCAGCAGUGCACAAAACAGUCAACAUUAAAUAAGUUUAAUUGCACAGUAAAAAUUGUGCCUUUAAAAACAUCUUAUCAAAAUCCGUUUAGUAAAACAAGAGUUUUUUUCAAAAUUACUAAACGAAAUGUUUAUAAUAGAAGAACUUAAUAAAUGAGAAUCUCAUCAAUUCAUUAAGAAUGAACUGUUGAUUUACAAACAAA
Molecule: long non-coding RNA, 1372 nt
Organism: Wyeomyia smithii (pitcher-plant mosquito)
Lineage: Eukaryota; Metazoa; Arthropoda; Insecta; Diptera; Culicidae
Exons: 2
Source: RefSeq, a predicted model, not a curated record